Molecule: ribosomal RNA, 465 nt
Filed under: Vreelandella stevensii
Lineage: Bacteria; Pseudomonadati; Pseudomonadota; Gammaproteobacteria; Oceanospirillales; Halomonadaceae
Description: partial 16S ribosomal RNA
Rfam family: Bacterial small subunit ribosomal RNA
Source: RNAcentral
GCUACGGGUGGCAGCAGUGGGGAAUAUUGGACAAUGGGCGAAAGCCUGAUCCAGCCAUGCCGCGUGUGUGAAGAAGGCCUUCGGGUUGUAAAGCACUUUCAGUGGGGAAGAAAGCCUUGGGGCUAAUACCCUCGAGGAAGGACAUCACCCACAGAAGAAGCACCGGCUAACUCCGUGCCAGCGGCCGCGGUAAUACGGAGGGUGCGAGCGUUAAUCGGAAUUACUGGGCGUAAAGCGCGCGUAGGCGGUCUGAUAAGCCGGUUGUGAAAGCCCCGGGCUCAACCUGGGAACGGCAUCCGGAACUGUCAGGCUAGAGUGCAGGAGAGGAAGGUAGAAGUCCCGGUGUAGCGGUGAAAUGCGUAGAGAUCGGGAGGAAUACCAGUGGCGAAGGCGGCCUUCUGGACUGACACUGACGCUGAGGUGCGAAAGCGUGGGUAGCAAACAGGAUUAGAUACCCCAGUAGUC